UACAGAGGGUGCAAGCGUUGUCCGGAAUCACUGGGCGUAAAGGGCGCGUAGGCGGCCUGAUAAGUAGGGGGUGAAACGCUACGGCUCAACCGUAGCACUGCCUUCUAAACUGUCAGGCUGGAGCACAGUAGAGGCAGGUGGAAUUCCCGGUGUAGCGGUGGAAUGCGUAGAGAUCGGGAAGAACAUCGGUGGCGAAGGCGGCCUGCUGGGCUGUUGCUGACGCUGAGGCGCGAAAGCGUGGGGAGCAAACAGGAUUAGAAACCCCUGUAGUCC
RNAcentral lists this ribosomal RNA (273 nucleotides) under uncultured bacterium. Its description in RNAcentral is "partial 16S ribosomal RNA". It matches the Rfam family "Bacterial small subunit ribosomal RNA", at positions 524 to 796 of the family's 1533-position model. The record is from RNAcentral.